CAGCAGCCGCGGUAAUACGUAGGUCCCGAGCGUUGUCCGGAUUUAUUGGGCGUAAAGGGAGCGCAGGCGGUUUAGUAAGUCUGAAGUUAAAGGCAUUGGCUCAACCAAUGUAUGCUUUGGAAACUGUUAGACUUGAGUGCAGAAGGGGAGAGUGGAACUCCAUGUGUAGCGGUGAAAUGCGUAGAUACAUGGAGGAACACCGGUGGCGAAAGCGGCUCUCUGGUCAGUCACUGACGCUGAGGCUCGAAAGCGUGGGUAGCGAACAGGAUUAGAUACCCGCGUAGUCCCUGUCUCUUAUACC
Molecule: ribosomal RNA, 301 nt
Filed under: uncultured bacterium
Lineage: Bacteria
Description: partial 16S ribosomal RNA
Rfam family: Bacterial small subunit ribosomal RNA
Source: RNAcentral